AAUAUUCUAUGAUCGAUUCCUUGGAUGACAGAAGUCGUGAUUUAUAACAUCUUUUUAAACUUUAGGUCGGACGUAUUGCAGGACACAUUGAGCACUGAUUUUUCGAACGCGCAUUGCGGUCUCGGGUGAUACCCGGGACCUCGCCUGUCUGAGGGUCG
This 158-nucleotide ribosomal RNA is filed under the name Stegodyphus mimosarum. RNAcentral's name for it is "5.8S ribosomal RNA". It matches the Rfam family "5.8S ribosomal RNA". From Rfam's summary of the family: 5.8S ribosomal RNA (5.8S rRNA) is a component of the large subunit of the eukaryotic ribosome. Lineage: Eukaryota; Metazoa; Arthropoda; Arachnida; Araneae; Eresidae. The record is from Rfam by way of RNAcentral.